RNAcentral lists this ribosomal RNA (500 nucleotides) under uncultured bacterium. RNAcentral's name for it is "partial 16S ribosomal RNA". It matches the Rfam family "Bacterial small subunit ribosomal RNA", at positions 30 to 523 of the family's 1533-position model. The record is from RNAcentral.
AUUGAACGCUGGCGGAAUGCUUUACACAUGCAAGUCGAACGGCAGCACGGACUUCGGUCCGGUGGCGAGUGGCGAACGGGUGAGUAAUGUAUCGGAACGUGCCCAGUCGUGGGGGAUAACGUAGUGAAAAUUACGCUAAUACCGCAUACGAACUAUGGAUGAAAGCGGGGGAUCGCAAGACCUCGCGCGAUUGGAGCGGCCGAUAUCAGAUUAGGUAGUUGGUGGGGUAAAGGCCCACCAAGUCAACGAUCUGUAGCUGGUCUGAGAGGACGACCAGCCACACUGGAACUGAGACACGGUCCAGACUCCUACGGGAGGCAGCAGUGGGGAAUUUUGGACAAUGGGCGAAAGCCUGAUCCAGCCAUUCCGCGUGCAGGAUGAAGGCCCUCGGGUUGUAAACUGCUCUUGUACAGAACGAAAAGGUUUCUACUAAUACUAGGAGCUCAUGACGGUACUGUAAGAAUAAGCACCGGCUAACUACGUGCCAGCAGCCGCGGUAA